GAGCCCGUAGCUCAGUCUGGUUAGAGCGCCGGUCUUAUAAGCCGGAGGUCCCGAGUUCAAAAUAACCAGGAUAAACUGGCAUGAAAAUCUCGGCGGGCUCA
RNAcentral lists this transfer RNA (101 nucleotides) under Candidatus Woesearchaeota archaeon. Its description in RNAcentral is "tRNA-Ile". It matches the Rfam family "tRNA". Rfam says of the family: Transfer RNA (tRNA) molecules are approximately 80 nucleotides in length. Their secondary structure includes four short double-helical elements and three loops (D, anti-codon, and T loops). The record is from RNAcentral. Lineage: Archaea; Nanobdellati; Candidatus Woesearchaeota.